This 871-nucleotide ribosomal RNA is filed under the name uncultured bacterium. Its description in RNAcentral is "bacterial SSU rRNA". It matches the Rfam family "Bacterial small subunit ribosomal RNA", at positions 21 to 902 of the family's 1533-position model. The record is from RNAcentral.
GGCUCAGGACGAACGCUGGCGGCGUGCUUAACACAUGCAAGUCGAGCGAGGUCCACAUCGGUGGCAACACCUUUGUGGCCCUAGCGGCGAACGGGUGAGUAACACGUGAGGAACCUGCCCCGAACUUCGGGAUAACCCGGGGAAACUCGGGCUAAUACCGAAUACCUCCACCAUGGCGCAUGCCGAGGUGCAGAAAGAUUUAUCGGUUCGGGAGGGUCUCGCGGCCUAUCAGCUAGUUGGUGGGGUAACGGCCUACCAAGGCAGCGACGGGUAGCUGGUCUGAGAGGACGAUCAGCCACACUGGGACUGAGACACGGCCCAGACUCCUACGGGAGGCAGCAGUGGGGAAUUUUGCGCAAUGGGCGAAAGCCUGACGCAGCAACGCCGCGUGCGGGAAGAAGGCCCUCGGGUUGUAAACCGCUUUCAGCAGGAACGAAACUGACGGUACCUGCAGAAGAAGCCCCGGCCAACUACGUGCCAGCAGCCGCGGUGAUACGUAGGGGGCGAGCGUUGUCCGGAUUUAUUGGGCGUAAAGAGCUCGUAGGCGGUUCGAUAAGUCAGGUGUAAAAACUCCAGGCUCAACUUGGAGAGGCCACCUGAUACUGUCGUGACUAGAGUCCGGUAGAGGAGCAAUUCCUGGUGUAGCGGUGAAAUGCGCAGAUAUCAGGAGGAACACCAGCGGCGAAGGCGGUGCUCUGGGCCGGAACUGACGCUGAGGAGCGAAAGCGUGGGGAGCGAACAGGAUUAGAUACCCUGGUAGUCCACGCCGUAAACGUUGGGCACUAGGUGUGGGACCCUGUCAACGGGUUCUGUGCCGCAGCUAACGCAUUAAGUGCCCCGCCUGGGGAGUACGGCCGCAAGGCUAAAACUC